UGGGAAUUUUGGACAAUGGGCGAAAGCCUGAUCCAGCAAUGCCGCGUGUGUGAAGAAGGCCUUCGGGUUGUAAAGCACUUUUGUCCGGAAAGAAAUCCUCUGGGUUAAUACCUCGGGGGGAGUGACGGUACCGGAAGAAUAAGCACCGGCUAACUACGUGCCAGCAGCCGCGGUAAUACGUAGGGUGCAAGCGUUAAUCGGAAUUACUGGGCGUAAAGCGUGCGCAGGCGGUUUUGUAAGACGGAUGUGAAAUCCCCGGGCUUAACCUGGGAACUGCAUUCGUGACUGCAAGGCUAGAGUAUGGCAGAGGGGGGUAGAAUUCCACGUGUAGCAGUGAAAUGCGUAGAGAUGUGGAGGAAUACCGAUGGCGAAGGCAGCCCCCUGGCCAAGUACUGACGCUCAUGCACGAAAGCGUGGGGAGCAAAACAGGAUUAGAUACCCUGGUAGUCCACGCCCUAAACGAUGUCAACUAGUUGUUGGGGGAUUCAUUUCCUUAGUAACGUAGCUAACGCGUGAAGUUGACCGCCUGGGGAGUACGGUCGCAAGAUUAAAACUUAAAUGAAUUGACGGGGUCAUAGCUGUUUCCU
This 587-nucleotide ribosomal RNA is filed under the name uncultured bacterium. RNAcentral describes it as "partial 16S ribosomal RNA". It matches the Rfam family "Bacterial small subunit ribosomal RNA", at positions 356 to 1375 of the family's 1533-position model. The record is from RNAcentral.